Long non-coding RNA from Gambusia affinis (western mosquitofish), 789 nucleotides. RefSeq lists it as uncharacterized. The transcript has 3 exons. The record is from RefSeq and is a predicted model, not a curated record. Lineage: Eukaryota; Metazoa; Chordata; Actinopteri; Cyprinodontiformes; Poeciliidae.
UGGAAACAACUUUAUAUGCAGGAAAGGAAUAAUACACAAAGCACGCUUUUACUUACCAAGAAGAGAAGAGACAGAAUUAGCAGAUUUGAGUUUUGAUGCUAACAGAGAUGAACGAGGACCAAAACCUAAAACCCUUGAAAAUCAUAAAAAAUACAAAAUAACCUUUCCAACACAGAAAGUGAUGAGUCAUGCCCACUAAUACAGGAAGGCUCUAUGUGUUGCAUCUGUAACAAUGCCAUCUUAAAGGACAGAUGGGUUGUUUUCUUGACCAAAAAACAUUUUUUACUGAAAAUAUAUCAAAUGAAACAUGUUAAACGUGGGACUUUAACAGAACCUAAUGUCUAAAGCUGAGGGAUGAGGUCUGAAAAGGCAAAUGUUACCACUAGAAUAGAUAGAUUAAACAAGCAGUAAGCAAACUCUUAUUUAAAAAAUGUUUUUUAUAUAUUUGUUAAAACUGUUUGUUCUAUCAGCAUGAUAUGUGACAGACAAAGAGUGGAAAGAAUCCAGCUCCUCUGCGCCUCCCUGUGGACCUACUUUCAUCCGCAGACAUACAUCGCUCCCAGUCAGAGACAACCAAUCAGAGCCAGGAGGAAAGUUUUGCCGCUCUCAAUCAUGCUCGUGUGCACACUGCUCAAGAUUCUCGUUGAUCCCAGAGUGAGGCACUGCAGACAUAACACCAUCCCUCUCCAACAACUUUGACGGUGUUCUCAGCUGCCAGGAUGCAGAAGGGUCUUUGGAGGAAGAUGAUAACCCACCAGCAUCAUCCUGUCACGCUCCACUUCCUGCAAG